RNAcentral lists this ribosomal RNA (619 nucleotides) under uncultured soil bacterium. RNAcentral's name for it is "bacterial SSU rRNA". It matches the Rfam family "Bacterial small subunit ribosomal RNA", at positions 834 to 1482 of the family's 1533-position model. The record is from RNAcentral.
GACCUGGUAGUAGCGAAGCUAACGCGUUAAGCAUGCCGCCUGGGGAGUACGAACGCAAGUUUAAAACUCAAAGGAAUUGACGGGGACCCGCACAAGCGGUGGAGCGUGUUGUUUAAUUCGAUGGUAAACGUAGAACCUUACCAAGGUUUGACAUCCUGGGAAGGUCUCCGAAAGGAGACUGUGCCUUCGGGAAUCCAGUGACAGGUGUUGCAUGGCCGUCGUCAGCUCGUGUCGUGAGAUGUUUGGUUAAGUCCAUCAACGAGCGCAACCCUUUUGGUUAGUUGAAUUUCUCUAGCCAGACUGCCCUGGUAACAGGGAGGAAGGAGGGGAUGAUGUCAGGUCAGUAUUACCCUUACACCUUGGGCCACAAACACGCUACAAUGGCCGGUACAAAGGGCUGCCAAGCAGCAAUGCGGAGCAAAUCCCAUCAAAGCCGGUCCCAGUUCGGAUUGGGGGCUGAAACUCGCCUCCAUGAAGCCGGAAUCGCUAGUAACGGUGAGUCAGCUAUAUUACCGUGAAUACGUUCCCGGGUCUUGUACACACCGCCCGUCAAACCAUGAAAGUCGCCAAUACCCGAAAUCCGAUUUAUCGGCCUAAGGUAGGGGAGAUGAUUGGGGUU